UACCUGUUUGAUCCUGCCACUAGUAUUAUGCUUCUCUAAAAGAUCACGAAGUGCUUGUGUAAGUAAUG
This 68-nucleotide ribosomal RNA is filed under the name Eucalyptus thozetiana. RNAcentral describes it as "partial 18S ribosomal RNA". Lineage: Eukaryota; Viridiplantae; Streptophyta; Magnoliopsida; Myrtales; Myrtaceae. The record is from RNAcentral.